This 371-nucleotide unclassified non-coding RNA is filed under the name uncultured fungus. RNAcentral describes it as "partial contains small subunit ribosomal RNA, internal transcribed spacer 1, and 5.8S ribosomal RNA". The stretch from base 1 to 73 matches the Rfam family "Eukaryotic small subunit ribosomal RNA", at positions 1759 to 1831 of the family's 1831-position model. The record is from RNAcentral. Lineage: Eukaryota; Fungi.
GCAAACUUGGUCAUUUAGAGGAAGUAAAAGUCGUAACAAGGUUUCCGUAGGUGAACCUGCGGAAGGAUCAUUAUCAGUGAGCCUGAUUCUCAUCAGGACUACACCUCUUACCACCAAAGAAGCACUCGGGCCUUUACGGUCAGUGGAUUUCUUUGGAAGUGUAAUGCGUCCACCCAUUGUGAAACUUAAUUUAUGCUUCGGCAGCACUCUUAGUGCUUUAAAACCGCUAGAGGGGUAAGGCUGUCAGAAGCCCACUAUCAAACUAGUUGAUGAAAUGUCAUGCAGUCUGAUAACUACUAUUUGAGAAAUCAAAUUACGUUAAAACUUUCAGCAACGGAUCUCUUGGUUCUCGCAUCGAUGAAGAACGCAGC